This 446-nucleotide ribosomal RNA is filed under the name Sarcoptes scabiei. RNAcentral describes it as "12S ribosomal RNA". Lineage: Eukaryota; Metazoa; Arthropoda; Arachnida; Sarcoptiformes; Sarcoptidae. The record is from RNAcentral.
UGAAAUUUAAUAAAUUUUUAAGAAAGUAAAUAAAAAUAAAACUAGGAUUAGAUACCCUAUUAUUUUUUAGUUGUAUUAAAGUAGUAAAUUAUAAUAACAAAACUUAAUUUUUUUGGCGGUUUUCUAUAUAUUCACAGGAACUUGUAUAAUUAAAAAGAUAACCCACUUUUAAUUUUACCUUUUUUAUUUUUUUGUACGGUUGUUAGAUAAAAAUUUAUUUUUUUUCUCAAAAAAUAAAAUAUUUUUAAUUCAGAUCAAUGUGAAGAUAAUAAAAAGGAUUAUAUGAGUUACAAAAAUUAGAAAAAUUAAUUUCAUAAAUUUUUAAAAAUGGAUGUGAAACGUAAAAAUUUAAUAAAAAUAAAUUUUGGAUUAUUCCUAGAAAAAGUACAUAUCGCCCGUCACUCUUAUAAAUUAGAUAAGUCGUAACAAAGUAGAAAUACUGGAAA